AAGAACACUCUUCUUCUUUGUUGAAGCAAGCUCACUUCUCACCACAUACCUUCGCCUCCGCCGUUAUCUUCUUCCACCGACCGCCUUCAUCAAACUCACCACCUCCAAAUUCAUGCCAUCACGACUCAUUUUCCACCACCAUUUUCUUCUUCAAACUUCCAUUCCCUUCAUCGUCGAUCUAACAUCGACAUACCAACCAUCUUCU
RNAcentral lists this long non-coding RNA (205 nucleotides) under Lathyrus oleraceus (garden pea). RNAcentral describes it as "Pisum sativum (pea) long non-coding RNA (PSAT_LNC038242)". The record is from RNAcentral. Lineage: Eukaryota; Viridiplantae; Streptophyta; Magnoliopsida; Fabales; Fabaceae.